CCUACGGGUGACAGCAGUGGGGAAUAUUGCACAAUGGGGGAAACCCUGAUGCAGCGACGCCGCGUGAGUGAAGAAGUAAUUCGUUAUGUAAAGCUCUAUCAGCAGGGAAGAAAAUGACGGUACCUGAGUAAGAAGCCCCGGCAAACUACGUGCCAGCAGCCGCGGUAAUAAGUAGGGGGCAAGCGUUAUCCGGAUUUACUGGGUGUAAAGGGGGCGUAGACGGCAGUGCAAGUCUGGAGUGAAAGGCGGGGGCUCAACCCCCGGACUGCUCUGGAAACUGUGCGGCUGGAGUGCAGGAGAGGUAAGUGGAAUUCCUAGUGUAGCGGUGAAAUGCGUAGAUAUUAGGAGGAACACCAGUGGCGAAGGCGGCUUACUGGACUGUAACUGACGUUGAGGCUCGAAAGCGUGUGGAGCAAACAGGAUUAGAUACCCCAGUAGUC
RNAcentral lists this ribosomal RNA (440 nucleotides) under uncultured bacterium. Its description in RNAcentral is "partial 16S ribosomal RNA". It matches the Rfam family "Bacterial small subunit ribosomal RNA", at positions 338 to 795 of the family's 1533-position model. The record is from RNAcentral.